RNAcentral lists this ribosomal RNA (119 nucleotides) under Monodelphis domestica (gray short-tailed opossum). Lineage: Eukaryota; Metazoa; Chordata; Mammalia; Didelphimorphia; Didelphidae. The record is from RNAcentral.
GUCUAUGGCUACAUUACCCUAAAUGCUCCAGAUUUCAUCUGAUCUCAGAAGCUAAGCAGGGUCAGGUCUGAUUAAUAUUUGAUUGGGAGAUUGUUGGGGAAUAGCAGUUUCUGUAGGUU